RNAcentral lists this ribosomal RNA (623 nucleotides) under uncultured Bacteroidota bacterium. Its description in RNAcentral is "bacterial SSU rRNA". It matches the Rfam family "Bacterial small subunit ribosomal RNA", at positions 355 to 975 of the family's 1533-position model. Lineage: Bacteria; Pseudomonadati; Bacteroidota. The record is from RNAcentral.
UAAGGAAUAUUGGACAAUGGAGGCAACUCUGAUCCAGCCAUGCCGCGUGAAGGAAGACGGCCUUAUGGGUUGUAAACUUCUUUUAUACAGGAAGAAACCUUUCCACGUGUGGAAAGCUGACGGUACUGUAAGAAUAAGGAUCGGCUAACUCCGUGCCAGCAGCCGCGGUAAUACGGAGGAUCCAAGCGUUAUCCGGAAUUAUUGGGUUUAAAGGGUCCGCAGGCUGUUUGUUAAGUCAGAGGUGAAGUCCUACCGCUCAACGGUAGAACUGCCUUUGAUACUGGCAAACUUGAGUUAUUGUGAAGUAGUUAGAAUGUGUAGUGUAGCGGUGAAAUGCAUAGAUAUUACAUAGAACACCAAUUGCGAGGGCAGCUUACUAAGUACUAACUGACGCUGAUGGACGAAAGCGUGGGUAGCGAACAGGAUUAGAUACCCUGGUAGUCCACGCCGUAAACGAUGGAUACUAGCUGUUCGGGACCUUGAGUUCUGAGCGGCUAAGCGAAAGUGAUAAGUAUCCCACCUGGGGAUUACGUUCGCAAGAAUGAAACUCAAAGGAAUUGACGGGGGCCCGCACAAGCGGUGGAGCAUGUGGUUUAAUUCGAUGAUACGCGAGGAACCUUACC